RNAcentral lists this ribosomal RNA (474 nucleotides) under uncultured bacterium. RNAcentral describes it as "bacterial SSU rRNA". It matches the Rfam family "Bacterial small subunit ribosomal RNA", at positions 328 to 793 of the family's 1533-position model. The record is from RNAcentral.
CGCUAGGACUCCUACGGGAGGCAGCAGUGGGGAAUAUUGCACAAUGGGGGAAACCCUGAUGCAGCCAUGCCGCGUGUGUGAAGAAGGCCUUCGGGUUGUAAAGCACUUUCAGUAGGGAGGAAGGUAGUGUAGUUAACACCUGCACUAUUUGACGUUACCUACAGAAGAAGCACCGGCUAACUCCGUGCCAGCAGCCGCGGUAAUACGGAGGGUGCGAGCGUUAAUCGGAAUUACUGGGCGUAAAGCGCAUGCAGGCGGCCUGUUAAGUCAGAUGUGAAAGCCCGGGGCUUAACCUCGGAAUUGCAUUUGAAACUGGCAGGCUAGAGUCUUGUAGAGGGGGUAGAAUUUCAGGUGUAGCGGUGAAAAUGCGUAGAGAUCUGAAGGAAUACCAGUGGCGAAGGCGGCCCCCCUGGACAAAGACUGACGCUCAGAUGCGAAAGCGUGGGGAGCAAACAGGAUUAGAUACCCUGGUAG